RNAcentral lists this ribosomal RNA (207 nucleotides) under uncultured bacterium. Its description in RNAcentral is "partial 16S ribosomal RNA". It matches the Rfam family "Bacterial small subunit ribosomal RNA", at positions 568 to 774 of the family's 1533-position model. The record is from RNAcentral.
CUCGUAGGCGGUUCGUCGCGUCCGGUGUGAAAGUCCAUCGCUUAACGGUGGAUCCGCGCCGGGUACGGGCGGGCUUGAGUACGGUAGGGGAGACUGGAAUUCCCGGUGUAACGGUGGAAUGUGUAGAUAUCGGGAAGAACACCAAUGGCGAAGGCAGGUCUCUGGGCCGUCACUGACGCUGAGGAGCGAAAGCGUGGGGAGCGAACA